GUGAGAGAAGACUUCCUGAGCAUGAGAGGAUGGGCAGCCCUGAAGCAGGCAAAGGAAAAGUGGCACGGCAGGAAGCAAGUCAGAUGAGGGGGCCUGGUUUGUGCGAGAACAUGACAAACCAGUGUUCCUGAAGCCUAAAGGGAAGGUGAGACAAGGCAGAGGAGGCUGGCGGGGCCAGGUCACGGAGUCUCCUGUGCCACACUGAGAGUCUGGGCUUGAGCUUGUGGAGCAAAUAAACCACAGCAACCAUGAAAUUAGAAGUUUGGUAAAACAUGUUGCAGAAGAACCAGGAAACACAUUGCAAUUGAGCCUGCUGGGUGCUGCUGCAAGUUUGGGGGUGAACAGGAGAAUCAGGUUCUUAUAGAACUGGGCAGAGUGGCUCACACCUACAAUCCCCUAGGAGGGAAGGACAAAGGCAUCCAUAUCACCUCGCCACAGUGGUUGUGGUGGAAGCUGUAGCACUGAAGAGAUGCAGCCCCAUGGAAGAUGCUGCCAAGAGAGGGAGACAGAGCUACGUCUGGUGUCUCCCUUCCUCCUUACCUGGUGCCUCCCUCCUCCUGUCCUCCUGUCUCCCUUCAGAUGAAGGAACUGAUGCUGAGACUUGCACUCUACCAUAGGCGGAAGCACCCACCACCCUGUUCCCAGCCCUGGAAGGGCAAGGAAUGAAUCUGAGGCAAAUAGGGCCAGCACUGGCAGUCUGCUCGAUUUUCCCUCAGAGCAUUUAUCUUCCUUGACAUAUUUACAAUUUUUUGUCUAUUUUUGGUUUCUCUAACUUGACUAGAAUGUAAGAUCCACAAGGCUUGGGCUUUGCUCUUUUGUUCACUAUGUCCAUAGCUCCUGUAACAGUGCCUAAAACAUAGUAGGCAAUCAAUAGAUAUUCUUUGGAUAAACAAAUAUGCCUCAACAUUGAGUCUAACUUACAGCAGACAUUGAAUAAAUAUCUAUUGAAUGAAUGAGACUAA
This 962-nucleotide long non-coding RNA is filed under the name Homo sapiens (human). RNAcentral describes it as "novel transcript". Lineage: Eukaryota; Metazoa; Chordata; Mammalia; Primates; Hominidae. The record is from RNAcentral.